CACGGAUUCCGGCGCGCCCGG
This 21-nucleotide unclassified non-coding RNA is filed under the name Chlamydomonas reinhardtii. Its description in RNAcentral is "small RNA Cre_0888". The record is from RNAcentral. Lineage: Eukaryota; Viridiplantae; Chlorophyta; Chlorophyceae; Chlamydomonadales; Chlamydomonadaceae.